This is a long non-coding RNA of Oreochromis niloticus (Nile tilapia), 831 nucleotides long. RefSeq lists it as uncharacterized. The record is from RefSeq and is a predicted model, not a curated record. Lineage: Eukaryota; Metazoa; Chordata; Actinopteri; Cichliformes; Cichlidae. The transcript has 3 exons.
UUAAAAACAGUACAUUUCAAAUUGUAGGUAAAUCUCUAAGUGGAUGUUUUGGUGUUACUGACACUGUAACUGAUUUAAGUUGGUUUUCAUCAAAAUAAUGACACUUGUCUCAAUGUUUUGGUAUAUAGUCUCCUGUAACAUCUAAAAGAAGGUAGAAGUUGCAACAGAUUGUGUCCACAUUGUGAUGGGUCUGUAGUGCCAUUUCCAAACUCUGAAGAUAUAGGUCCUGUGAUUCUCUCUGCAGUCCUGACUGUUCUUUGUAAUCUUGUUUAGUUCACUUUUGUGGCUGAUUCACACUGGUGAUGUCGGAACAGAGAACACAUUAUUGCAGUGUAGAACUGGAUGAGCAGCCCUUGUCCCAUUAGUAAUAGAAGAUGUUGUGUUUUAUCUUUAGCAAGUGCACUAAUAAAGCUUUGAAGAACAUUUUCUAAGUGUAGUCUUUGCUGAUGACAAGAUUGCUUUCACUGUGUUGAAUAUUUAUUUACUAAAAUAACUUCUUUUUUUUUUUUCCCCCACAGACAAAUCAGGGAUGAAAAAGAAUUCUACUACUGAAGUUGGACAAAACAAAUAUCCACAGUCAGACAAAGGAAUGUCAGAUGAAGAGAUGCCACCGAACAUUGAGGUCUGUGUUGAGUCGCACAAAAUAACAGGGGCAUCACAAACCACAAGAAGGAAGUGGACUGAAGCAGAAAUAAAGGCUGUGGAGAAGACUCUAAUGGAGUACAUCAGCUCUGGAAAGGUUCCUGGGAAGGCAGAGUGUCUCAAAUGUAUUGAGACUUCACCAUUAGCAUUGAAAGAGAGAGUUGGGAGGGAGUUAAGUUAUGUGAAAAA